GACUAUAAAAGGGUAUAUUCAAGAUCGAAUUCAAUCUGAUGGAUCAUCUUGCGGCUUGUUCAUGCUACAAUUCAUUGAAUACUGGACAGGACACAAACUGUCACAUCCUGUUACACAGGAAGAUGUCAAACCCUUCAGGCAAAAAGUAGCAAUCAUUCUCCAUGAAUCAGAUCUGAACGAUAUAAAAGGAACUCCUGAGUACCAUAAUCCAGCAGACGAUAUAAUAGAUACUGACGGUGUUGAAAUAUUGGACCCGCCA
Long non-coding RNA from Triticum aestivum (bread wheat), 259 nucleotides. RefSeq lists it as uncharacterized. The record is from RefSeq and is a predicted model, not a curated record. Lineage: Eukaryota; Viridiplantae; Streptophyta; Magnoliopsida; Poales; Poaceae. The transcript has 3 exons.